GCGGUAACACCAGCCCCUCGAGUGGUGGGGACUAUUAUUUGGUCUAAAGCGUCCGUAGCUGGCUGCAUCCGUCCUCCGUUAAAUCCAGCGUCCUAAACGUUGGACUGCGGAUGAUACCAUACAGCUAGAGGGUGGGAUAGGUGAGCGGUAUUUCUGGGGUAGGGGCGAAAUCCUUUGAUCCCAG
This 184-nucleotide ribosomal RNA is filed under the name Candidatus Bathyarchaeota archaeon. RNAcentral's name for it is "partial 16S ribosomal RNA". It matches the Rfam family "Archaeal small subunit ribosomal RNA", at positions 467 to 651 of the family's 1478-position model. The record is from RNAcentral. Lineage: Archaea; Thermoproteati; Candidatus Bathyarchaeota.